Molecule: long non-coding RNA, 1877 nt
Organism: Triticum dicoccoides
Lineage: Eukaryota; Viridiplantae; Streptophyta; Magnoliopsida; Poales; Poaceae
Exons: 8
Source: RefSeq, a predicted model, not a curated record
CGCCCCGCCUCCCUCUCCUCUUCCUCUUCCCCUAGCGCCGCCGCACCCGCGCCUCCCUCUCCCCCUAGCGUCGCCCGCACCCGCGCAUCCCUCUCCACCUAUCGCCCCUAACGCCGCCACCAUUGCCUCCUUCCCCAUCGCCGACUGGCCUCCUCCCCUCACGUUCUCCUCCUUCCACCCUUCCGAUCUGGCACCGCCCAAACCCUAACGCCCCGGCCCGGCCCCGGCUCCCACAAGAGGGAAGGAGAAAUGGCGAGGCGAGGCAAAGCCGCGCCCUAGACUGACCAGUAGGCCUCCGCCAAGGCCGCGCCCAAGGCUGACCAGUAGGCCAUGGUCACCAAGCGCCCACACAAGGGAACCACGUCGGGGAAGAAGAAGUCGGCGCCCAAGUCCGUUGCUGCCGCACGCCCUCUCUAGCCGCCUCUCAUCAUCCUCAUGUUCGGCAGAAGGAGGACGAGGACGUUGAGCGGACAUGGGCUAUCACUCUCUCCGCGGGCGAGCUCGAGCGCUACAGCAUUAGCGAGGACCUCCGCGAGUUCGUCAACGGCAUGACCGUAAUCACCUUCCGUGACUUCCCCCUUGCAAGGUACUGUUUACUCGUGGUUCAGUUUUGGGGACUCGAAGCGCUGGAUUGACUGAUGACAUGAUUUUGUUUGCACAGAUGAGUUGGAGCCGUCGGAGUGUCCACGGUGUUGAAUGUGCCUCAGCAUCUGAACGAAUGGCAGGCUAGGCAUACCACUCACGUCCUCUCGCCCGUCAGGAUUUUGUUUCCGUUAACCAUUUCAGUCAUGGGAGAUUUGGUUUAUGUGGCUCUCCAUCGAUGGAAUGCCGAUGAAUGCACAUAUGAACAUACAUACAUAGUUCUGUUUUGCUUUAGAAUUCAGUGUCAGAAAACUCUAUGGAGGUUGCUGAUUUGGAGUUCAGCUAGGGAUGCUCUAAAUUGCAUGGUUGUUGCUUGAUGUGGAAUAUGCAACUGGAACCGGCGACCAGCCCUUCCUCGCCCUCAGCCUUAACACCACCACUGACGCCUCCAGGAGUAGUUGGGCAUUGCCGGUGGCACCGGCAAGGCAAUGGUUGUGGUUAGGCUUUAGUGCCAGGUUCCUCACAGUUGUAGCUGUUGGGGAACACUGCUAUGCUCGCUGUCCGGUGGUGGGGUUUGGGCAUGCCACUGGUGCUCCUGCGGAUUGGCAUGGAUGCCUCCGCGCUCGGAGUCUGCUCUAUCUACGGGUUCCUAGGUGUUGUCAUAUGCUCCAGAUUUUAUAUGGCCCAUUGUAUAAGAUGCAAUUUGGAUUAUUAAUCUGGAACAACUAUAUCAUGGAGGUGUUGUUUAAGGUUCCCUUGCUAAUUUUAUCUUAAGCUGCAGUUCUGCAUCUAUGGGUAAGAUAAUCUAUGCAGUGCAUUUGCCAUACAAUACCAAGCAAAUUCAUUUGCAUUUGCAGCUAUGGACGAACCCUUCUUUUUGUUCUCAUGUUAGUGUUAGAGCAGCUGCAUUUCCCUGUGCUCAACGCUGCAUCGCUCAGUUCAUUUUCUUGGUUCCUUUGCUCGGCGUAGGAAGUUAGGAGACCAUCAACCGUAAGGAGGAGUAAUAAAAAGAAGUUCAGAAGCCAAGGACCAUAUUCAACCUGAUUUUAGGCAUCCUCAAGUAAAGAAGCUUGAGGUGGCACAAAGGUCAAUAGGCGGCAUUUCAGUAGAGCUUGAUCCUGUGGAUUCUCCUGAACUGAAGCUUACUGAUAAAACAGAGCUUUCUAUGCUUGAAAGGGUUUUGCCAAUUUACAAGACCCAUAUGCGUCUCUCUCUGCAAAUUGCCUAUUUAGUAUUCCAAAUUUCAGUCAACUAUCAUACUGGAGAAGCGGCGGCGGAUAUUUAUUCAUGUUGGA